Long non-coding RNA from Pogoniulus pusillus (Red-fronted tinkerbird), 489 nucleotides. RefSeq lists it as uncharacterized. Lineage: Eukaryota; Metazoa; Chordata; Aves; Piciformes; Lybiidae. The record is from RefSeq and is a predicted model, not a curated record. The transcript has 2 exons.
CUGGUGGCAGCAGCUCAAGCUGGGAUGUGCUGGUGGCAGCAGCUCAGUCAGGUUGGGAUGUGCCUGGUGGCAGCAGCUCAGGCAGGCUUGGCACACUGGCUGGUGGAGGUCAGGUCAGUCCCUGCAGUGUGUGACUCUGAAGCCAUAACUUUUAACUGGAGUGGUUUUGGUUAUGAUGAUGAUGAUGAUGAUGAUUAAUUAUUGUUAUUAUUUUUUAUUAUUAUUAUUAUUAUUUGCUGGGAGGAGCUUCUGGAUUUUAACUUCUCUUUUUUUGUGGUUGUUUUUUUUUUUUACCUGGUGUUAGUUCUUUCUAAAGAGAAGCAAAACAAUCUCUCGAUGAUUACCUCUGGACUUGUUUGUUUGUAAAGAAAUCAGUGCAAAAAAAAAGAAAGAAAAAAAAAGAACAAAAAAAAAGGAAAAAAAAAAAGAGAAAAGAGGAAAAAAAAAUACAAAAAAGGUCGAAAAAGAGGAAAAAAAGGAAAGCAAAAA